UUUAACCCUAGAGGACAGCAUCAGAGUCCCUCCCCUUCAGCUAAGCGCAGCUUUUCCCUUCUUCACUACAAAAAAUCAGAACCCCAGAAACUUGAAGGAACCAAUAGCGCACCUCCCCUUCCUUGUUUCUUCUUCAUCUUUUCGUCAAACCAUCCAAAUUGCCGCAAAAAAGAAGACCCCCCCCCCUUUCCAAGAAGAACGGCGGUCAUUUUCUUCCAUCCUCAAAAAAAUUGAAGAUGAGACCCCCUUAGAAAAGAAAACAAGUCUAGCUCUGAAAAUUCAAAAAGAGUUUCAAAAACAAAACCAAAACAGAAAACAAAGGAAGACUUGAAAGCUAUUCGAAGUUCUGCUCUUUUACUUCAAUUUUCUUGAAUUUCGAGUGGUAUUGGAGCGGUAAAAGUGUUGUUUGUUGUUGUAUUUGUUGAUUCUUCUGUUGCCGAUCUUCGAGCAUGGCGAUUCCAACUUUAUGUGUCUUUCUUCUCUUCUAAAAUUGAACCUUGCACGCGAUGAGCAUACCUCGUUCUUCGUUUUCCUCCAUUUGGUGAGACGUUUAAUGAGCAGAAACUAAGGCAUUUUUGGAUAUUGAAUUAAAGAGAGUUGGGAAAUGUGAUCAAAGGCAGUAAUGUAGCCACACUUUUAUGCACCCCAUUCACUUUCUCUUGUCUUGUAGUAUUAUAGUUUUUUUUAGAA
Non-coding RNA from Nicotiana tabacum (common tobacco), 690 nucleotides. NCBI's taxonomy places the organism in Eukaryota, Viridiplantae, Streptophyta, Magnoliopsida, Solanales, Solanaceae. The record is from RefSeq and is a predicted model, not a curated record.